RNAcentral lists this ribosomal RNA (407 nucleotides) under uncultured bacterium. RNAcentral describes it as "partial 16S ribosomal RNA". It matches the Rfam family "Bacterial small subunit ribosomal RNA", at positions 30 to 526 of the family's 1533-position model. The record is from RNAcentral.
AUUGAACGCUGGCGGCAGGCCUAACACAUGCAAGUCGAGCGGAGCGGCGGUCGGGGGCGUAAUGCCUAGGAAUCUGCCUGGUAGUGGGGGAUAACGUCAGGUACCGGGCGCUAAUACCGCAUACACUUAGCUGAGCCUGGGUCGGAUUAGGUAGUUGGUGGGGUAAAGGCCUACAAAGGCGACGAUCCGUAACUGGUCUGAGAGGAUGAUGAGUCACACUGGAACUGAGACACGGCCCAGACUCCUACGGGAGGCAGCAGUAGGGAAUAUUGGGCAAUGGGCGAAAGCCUGAUCGAGCCAUGCCGCGUGAGUGAAGAAGGUUUUCGGAUUGUAAAGCUCUGUAGUUUGGGAAGCGGUACCUAACGAGAAAGCACCGGCUAACUACGUGCCAGCAGCCGCGGUAAUAC